Molecule: ribosomal RNA, 703 nt
Filed under: uncultured bacterium
Lineage: Bacteria
Description: bacterial SSU rRNA
Rfam family: Bacterial small subunit ribosomal RNA
Source: RNAcentral
GGGGAAUAUUGCACAAUGGGCGAAAGCCUGAUGCAGCGACGCCGCGUGAGGGAUGACGGCCUUCGGGUUGUAAACCUCUUUCAGUAGGGAAGAAGCGAAAGUGACGGUACCUGCAGAAGAAGCGCCGGCUAACUACGUGCCAGCAGCCGCGGUAAUACGUAGGGCGCAAGCGUUGUCCGGAAUUAUUGGGCGUAAAGAGCUCGUAGGUGGCUUGUCGCGUCUGCCGUGAAAACCCGAGGCUCAACCUCGGGCGUGCGGUGGGUACGGGCAGGCUAGAGUGUGGUAGGGGAGACUGGAACUCCUGGUGUAGCGGUGAAAUGCGCAGAUAUCAGGAAGAACACCGAUGGCGAAGGCAGGUCUCUGGGCCAUUACUGACACUGAGGAGCGAAAGCAUGGGUAGCGAACAGGAUUAGAUACCCUGGUAGUCCAUGCCGUAAACGUUGGGCACUAGAUGUGGGGGACAUUCCACGUUUUCCGCGUCGUAGCUAACGCAUUAAGUGCCCCGCCUGGGGAGUACGGCCGCAAGGCUAAAACUCAAAGGAAUUGACGGGGGCCCGCACAAGCGGCGGAGCAUGCUGAUUAAUUCGAUGCAACGCGAAGAACCUUACCAAGGCUUGACAUGCACCGGGCGACUGCAGAGAUGUGGUUUUCUUCGGACUGGUGCACAGGUGGUGCAUGGUUGUCGUCAGCUCGUGUCGUGAGA